UACGUAGGUGGCGAGCGUUGUCCGGAUUUACUGGGCGUAAAGGGAGCGUAGGCGGACUUUUAAGUGAGAUGUGAAAUACCCGGGCUCAACUUGGGUGCUGCAUUUCAAACUGGAAGUCUAGAGUGCAGGAGAGGAGAAUGGAAUUCCCAGUGUAGCGGUGAAAUGCGUAGAUAUCGGGAAGAACACCCGUGGCGAAGGCGGCUCUCUGGGACGGUACUGACGCUGAGACGCGAAAGCGUGGGGAGCGAACAGG
This 253-nucleotide ribosomal RNA is filed under the name uncultured bacterium. RNAcentral's name for it is "partial 16S ribosomal RNA". It matches the Rfam family "Bacterial small subunit ribosomal RNA", at positions 524 to 776 of the family's 1533-position model. The record is from RNAcentral.